RNAcentral lists this ribosomal RNA (490 nucleotides) under uncultured bacterium. Its description in RNAcentral is "partial 16S ribosomal RNA". It matches the Rfam family "Bacterial small subunit ribosomal RNA", at positions 30 to 507 of the family's 1533-position model. The record is from RNAcentral.
AUUGAACGCUGGCGGCAGGCCUAACACAUGCAAGUCGAACGGUAACAGGAAGAAGCUUGCUUCUUUGCUGACGAGUGGCGGACGGGUGAGUCAUGUCUGGGAAACUGCCUGAUGGAGGGGGAUAACUACUGGAAACGGUAGCUAAUACCGCAUAACGUCGCAAGACCAAAGAGGGGGACCUUCGGGCCUCUUGCCAUCGGAUGUGCCCAGAUGGGAUUAGCUAGUAGGUGGGGUAACGGCUCACCUAGGCGACGAUCCCUAGCUGGUCUGAGAGGAUGACCAGCCACACUGGAACUGAGACACGGUCCAGACUCCUACGGGAGGCAGCAGUGGGGAAUAUUGCACAAUGGGCGCAAGCCUGAUGCAGCCAUGCCGCGUGUAUGAAGAAGGCCUUCGGGUUGUAAAGUACUUUCAGCGGGGAGGAGGGGAGUAAAGUUAAUACCUUUGCUCAUUGACGUUACCCGCAGAAGAAGCACCGGCUAACUCCGUG